UCGAACGAUGAUGCCCAGCUUGCUGGGCGGAUUAGUGGCGAACGGGUGAGUAAUACGUGAGUAACCUGCCCUUGACUCUGGGAUAAGCCUGGGAAACUGGGUCUAAUACUGGAUACUACCUCUUGCCGCAUGGUGGGUGGUGGAAAGGGUUUUACUGGUUUUGGAUGGGCUCACGGCCUAUCAGCUUGUUGGUGGGGUAAUGGCUCACCAAGGCGACGACGGGUAGCCGGCCUGAGAGGGUGACCGGCCACACUGGGACUGAGACACGGCCCAGACUCCUACGGGAGGCAGCAGUGGGGAAUAUUGCACAAUGGGCGGAAGCCUGAUGCAGCGACGCCGCGUGAGGGAUGACGGCCUUCGGGUUGUAAACCUCUUUCAGUAGGGAAGAAGCGAGAGUGACGGUACCUGCAGAAGAAGCGCCGGCUAACUACGUGCCAGCAGCCGCGGUAAUACGUAGGGCGCAAGCGUUGUCCGGAAUUAUUGGGCGUAAAGAGCUCGUAGGCGGUUUGUCGCGUCUGCUGUGAAAGCCCGGGGCUCAACCCCGGGUCUGCAGUGGGUACGGGCAGACUAGAGUGCAGUAGGGGAGACUGGAAUUCCUGGUGUAGCGGUGAAAUGCGCAGAUAUCAGGAGGAACACCGAUGG
This 642-nucleotide ribosomal RNA is filed under the name Kocuria sp. RNAcentral's name for it is "bacterial SSU rRNA". It matches the Rfam family "Bacterial small subunit ribosomal RNA", at positions 62 to 715 of the family's 1533-position model. Lineage: Bacteria; Bacillati; Actinomycetota; Actinomycetes; Micrococcales; Micrococcaceae. The record is from RNAcentral.